Molecule: long non-coding RNA, 8488 nt
Organism: Orcinus orca (killer whale)
Lineage: Eukaryota; Metazoa; Chordata; Mammalia; Artiodactyla; Delphinidae
Exons: 3
Source: RefSeq, a predicted model, not a curated record
GUUUAUCCUUCUGAGGAACUCCAGAUCUCAGGAAGGGCAGGCAGGAAGAUGCAAGUACCAAACUCCACCUAACCUUUACGAUAUUCCACUUAGAACCGUGAGUAGAGGAGCUACACCAGCAUCUAUAUGUGAAUUUCAGCCAAGAAUUUUGCCAAGCCUCUCAUGUUCUUUUUGUGGCUAUGAUGACAAAGUAGAACAGGAUAAUAUACCUGCAUAUAAGCUCCAUGAGAAAGUGACCUAGUUUUUAUGUCAUGUACUACUGUCUCCCUGGCACCUAACGUAGGGCCUGACAUUUAGUAGGUGCUCAGCAAGUUUUUGGAUGAAAUUUCAGCCUCUUCGCCAAACACUCAAAUUUACCUUGCCUUCCAGCCACUAUGAAUUACUUGCAGUUCCCCCUAUAUACCAUCCCUCCUCCUUGCCUCCCUCCCUCUGCCUGUAGCCCAGAAUGCCCUUUCCUAUUCCUUCUGUCCUCCUGAUAUACUAUCAUCUUGGAAAGCCAGUUCCCAUGCCAGCUCUCCCAAGCCACGUGCUCCUUCGAGGAUCCUGUAACGCUCUGUUCAGAUAUCGGGUUGACUGCUUUCAUUUUGCCAGUGCUGUGUUUAGUGUAUCUCCCUCAUUAGGCUGUGAUGCUUUCAGGGUAGGACCCUAUCUGGAUCAACUUGGUACCCCUAGUGCAUAUCACAGCACCUGGUUCUGAGUAAAUAUCUGUUGAGUAAUAAAGAUGUAGAGUGGUCCUGAUGAUUCUGGACGUUGAAAACAGCUAAUUUUAAGAGAUAAACAUCAGUAUAUCCUGAGCAUACUGUACUAGAUAUUGUUUUGACUUCUAGCUCUAUCACUUAAUCUUUUUGAGUAUCCAUUUCUUCAUCUGUUAAAUGAAGAAAAUAUUCAUGGGUUCAAUGAAGAUUGAAUUCAUAUGGGUAGACUGUCUAAUCUGGUGUCUAUCAGUCACCCAGCUGACCUUCAUAUAUAGUAGUUUAUUAUUAUGGAUUAUUAUGGUCACUGAAGAUCUUACUGUGUUUGGCCCAGAACUGCAUUUGAUUAAAGAAGCCUCCCCAGAAAAGAGGCAUACACAUUCCAUUUACUCUUUCAGAGACAAUGAAGCACUGACACUCUUAAGGACUAAUUCCCAUCCCAAAAUGGUUAACAUUUCUAAAAUAUUUUGAUGCUAAAAGAGGUGUGCUUCCAUUGUCUGGAAAAUUUGCUUUAUGGAAGAACUUUUUAUUUUCUUUUUGGACAAUGCAGGUCAUUUCUAUUUUAUGUUUUCUGGCUGAAAGGAAUGUUUUCAAAGUCAAAAGGAAAAAGAAGUCCAAGAGCUACAAAAGAGUAGUUUAAGUGAUUUAUGCUUGAUUUCUAAAUGCAACAUGUGUUUAUACAUAAUUUAAAACUUGAAGAAAGCAUGCUUAUACAAUUGUGUGUGACUUUAACAUUUAAUAACUCUGAAUACGUGAUAGAAACAGUCCAUGACACUUGAAAAUAUCAUUUAUGGAACAGCAUACAAUUCAGUGCUCUUAGCCUGGAUAUUACAACCAUAUUUCACAAAGUCUUGCUUGGCUCGAUUUUCUCCAUGCAGUCAAUAUGGUCUUCAGUUGCUGGUAAGUGAUUUUGCAAAUUUCAUUUAUAAUCCUGGCCCUAAGAUUACCUAAGUACUGUUUCUGGCACAUUAACUUACAUAUUAUGCUCCGGUCAUGUGUACCUUCAAAGUUACUGAUAUAACUGACUGCCACAGGGGAUAGUGUCAAUACCUCUGUCUCCACUGGAGUGAUGGCCACCCACACUGGGGAGAACGCUGUUUUUCUAACAAACAGCAGAACUUUAAUCUUACAGGGAUGUGUGAACUAGUUUGACCUUAGUUCCAGGUGUGCCUCAAAAAAAAAUCUCAUUCUUCAUCCUCGUAGCGGGUACUUUAGGUGGCACUGAGGCUGGUGGGGAGAGCACUGGGCUUGGAAUCACACCUGGGUGACAUCCUGCUCUGGUCUUCACUAGCUGUGUGACUUGGCAAAGCCACUUGACAUCUCUGAGCCUCUGAGAUCCUGGCAGACGGGGAGACCAAUGCCCCCUUCACCAGGCUGUGGUGAGAGGACAUGACACUGCUGCCCUGGCACAGAGGUAGGAGCUGAGUAACCCUGCUGAGAGGAUGAAUGCAGGUAACGUGGAGUGAGAACGUUUCACCUGCAGCAGCUGAGGGCAGCGCUUGCCUGUGCCCAUGGGGAGAAUGGCAUGAAAGAUUCACUUGUUGCAUUUUCGCAGGUUUACGUUUGCAAAGCAGGGCAUUCUUCUCCACAUGUUUGAGAGUCAACAUUACCCCAAAACCCAUCGUGGGGAAAUUCUGCAUUCUUUUCCAUCCCCUCCCCUCCAACUAUUCUCGAGGUAAUGUCACACAAAACGAAACGUGCCGUCUGCCAACCAGCAGAGGCGAAGCAGCCAAUACUUUGGACCAGUUUAGCAGCCCUAUUCUACCUUCAGCCUCCCACACCCUGGUCUUCCCCGACACCAGAAUUGUGGUGCAUGGGGGAGGGGGUGGGUGCUGGGCAAGGGUGCAGCCCCUCAUGUUGUUUUAAGCCAGAGGGGAAAAUGUACUGGGAAGAGGCCACGGAAAAAAAGCCUGGUGAGCUCACACCUAGGGACACAGCUGGGGAAAUAAAUUAACUACUUCUGUUGCAUGUCUACCCACAGAACAGGCCUGGGUCUAAAUCUCCUCUCCCUCCAGUAGCUCCGAAGCGGCCCCGAGCUCCCUGAGAGCCAUUUCCACUGACAGGCUCCUCUCCAGGUUCUCCAGCUCCCGGCGCACCUCCUCGAUGAAGCCGCCGUCUUCAUACUCAUCAGGGACGUCUCUGGGCACCAGGUUUGCUCCGUCCUCAUCGCGGCCCCCGACGAAGGUGGGCUUGCACACAUACACCAGGCUGUGGCUGUGGAGGGAGGGACGGGGGCGAGGCCCAGGCCCCCAAACUGAGGCCCUGCCCUCUGCACAAGCCCAGCUCACCUUCACGGCACCUCCUCUAACAUCCUGCCUUAAAGCAGAUGCUGAGGGAGGGUCACCUUUGGAGAAUGUGCUCCAAGGUGAGCUCCCCCACGUCGAGCCACAGGUCUGUCCUCCUGUCACGGACCCUCUCUGGCAGCCCUGAGGACUUGGCGGUCUGAGAGUUUACAGCCCCCUGCCCACCUGGGCCCCCAGGCAGCAGCAGCCCCUGCUGCACCUAUGGGGAGCCCUGGGCCUUGUGGGCCAGGGCCAGGGUUCUGUCUGUUUCCCCAGCCACCCUGGAUCCUGCUGGGAGAGAAGGCAGAGCAGCGGCUGCUGAGUGAGAUGCGCACGGAGAACUUAGCCUCUGAGCAGGCCUGGUGCUUCACGUCUCUCCACGGCCUCUACUCUGCUGGCCACUCUCCCGGCUGCCCUCCUACCUCUCUGACUGCACCUUCUCAGUCUCCUCUGCUCUUUCAUUGUGAUGCGCCUGGGCUCCCUCCACACCCAGUCUUUUUUAACGUCAUCUACUGAGGAGGCUUCAACCCUCACACAGAUGAACCCAAAUCUGUACCCCUGGCCACACCUCCUGAGCCCUAGUCCUAUAGAUCCGCUAUUGGACCCUCCAUCUGGAAGACCCAAGGACACCUCCAACUAAACCUACCUUAAAUUAAAUCCACAUCUUCCCCCCACCCUGCUCCUGCUCCUGGGUCCCCACUGGGUGGCACCUCAUUUGCUCUCAGACCCCGACAGAAAGGGCAAGUGAGACCUCACCUAUGAGGCUGGCAGAGGAGGCCACUGGCACACGGGCAUCGGUCCAAAGCUCCAUCAGGCUCCAGCUCCCAGGUGAUGAGAUCCAAAAGCCGGCUGGCAGGGUCGUGGCAGAGCUCACCCUCCACGGGCAGGGGUGUGCACACAGGAAACAACAGACCUGGAACCAGUUGAGGGUUACCCCUGUACCAGGCAGGCAGGCAGGCACCAAAGGAAGGAGCAGAGAAAUGGGGUGCAGCCCCCCAGCUUCCACCCUGAACCCCAAAGUGGAGGUUGGGAUUGAAGAGGUGGAAUGGUAGGAAACCAGAAUGAUGGCAUGGGCUCAGGAGGGAACAAGCCGGGAGGGCUGGAGCAGUUAGGGAGGACUGCCUGGAAGAGGUGGUCUUGUGCUGGGUUUUGAGGCCAGAGGUAUGGAGAAAUUAAGAGUAGAAAAAGGCACUGAAGUUUUUUUUGGAGGGGCAGGAAUUAUUAUUACAAAAUAUGUUUUCAAAGAAAAAAAAUCUGGAAGGAUAUAGAUAAGACCUUUGCUUAUCUGUAUCUUCCAGUUUUCCUACACUGAAAAUGUAUUAUUUGUAUAAUUAAAAAAUGAAAGUAACUAUGUUUAUAUAUAUAUGGGCUGGUGAGAAAAGUUGGGACAGCAAGAUUCCCAGAUGGGCCAAGGAGUAGAGAGAAAAGGAGGACAGGUAAGCUGGACCCGGCCGAGGUCUUGGAAGGCCAACUGAGGAGUGGAAUUGAAGUGACAGGACAGGAGCAACCGCAGCUCCCAGAGGAAUGAUACCCAGGGAGCCAUGUCCUUGAGGAAAAUUGCUGGGGCAGCAGGUACCAGGUGGACUAGGGCUUGAGGGAGGGGUUAAGGGACGGUUUCAGAAACACCUGUGGAUAGGGAGAGCACCUGAGCAGACCUCACCUGGGAAGGGCAGUGAGAAUGAGAGAUGGGAGUAGAAGGGGGCCACUCGCAGGAAAGCGGACCAGGGCCAGGUGCUACCCUGAGGCCUGGGGAAUGGGUGGAGUGUGAUGGGGAGGGGGUGCCCUCAUCCCACGCAUCUGGGGGUAUUCCUCCCUCCUUGGGCUGAUGCAUCCUGAAGGAAUUUAAUUUCCAGGCAUCACAGGAGGAAAAGAAAAAGAGUGAGAAAGAGAGCUGGUCUUCAGCCCCGGGAAGAAGCUGCGGUGCUGGGACACAUACCAAUGAGCAUCGGGGACCCUGCCUAGGAGGAGGUCCCUGAAAAGGUGUGGUUGGCAUGGACGGGGCCCCAGGAGGCCCAGUGUGCUAGAGCUUGGGACAGGGCUUGUCCUGCCCCCAGAGGGGAGCCCACCCACCUCUCUGGAAGGCACAGCACAGCCCCGGCUGGCAGUCCCUCUGGUUGUCACAGAUGGUCCCGUUGCCGCCUUUGGUGGCCGUUCUGGUGCAGUGACCCCAGACGCACAGCUGGUCUCCACAACACUCGCUGUCCCGGGUGCAGAGCUGCAGCAGGGAGGGAAAACACAGGCGGCUCACGGACCUGAGGGAGCCCAGCCUGUCCCUGCCCCCAAUCCAGAAGCCUGGAGACAGUGUAGGUCGGCUACCCCACAUCCUCCUACUAUAGACAGGAGGAAACCGAGCUCCUUGGUCUGGGGGUGUCUUAGGGAAGUCAAGGGGGUGGAGAUGGGAGCUGGGCAGGAAACAUGACACCUGGGGGAGUCCUACACAGCUUGAGAUUUUAUAAAGGAUGGUUGCAUCUUUUCGGUUCCCCCCCAGACUUGGCUUUGCCUCCUUUUCAUUAGGUCCCUAAUUAACGGUCAGGAAGGAAGAUGGCUUAUGGCCCACAGACGCAGGCAGCGGCGUGAAUCUGAUCAGCUGAUUAAAUUAAGGCCCAAGCCUGGACAGCCACAGGGACCUCAGGAGGGCACUGGGUGCCUUGGACCUGGGGUCGCACGUGUGGAGUGGUGGCACCGAGCAGGCCAGGAGCUGCCUAACCACAGGUGGAAGAAGUUAACUAGAUGCUGAUCACAAGCCCACGGACCCCAGGCAAUUGGAACCAGAAGAGUGAUGAUGUUGACUCCCAGUUACCUUCCCACCCAUCAGAAGAAUGUCCGCAAGCUCAUCACGCACAUGUGCAACUCUCUCCCUCAACCUGUCUUUAAAAACCCUUCCCUGAAAGCCAUCGGGGAGUUGGGAUCUUCUGAGCUUUACUCCUUGCUUGGCCUUGCAACAAACGCUGCACUUUCCUCACCACAACCCAGCAUCAGAAGAUCGGCUUUACUAUGUGCAGGCAAGUGGACCCAAGUUUGAUUCAGUAACAAAAGGAGAGCACACUGCCCACCACCCUGCAAGAUGACCUAAAAUUGCUCUUCUCUGUGUCUCCCCAGCGUCCCACGCAUCUCGGCCCACGAGCCCCCUCCCACGGCUCUGCCCGAAGUUUCCAUCACCACAGCAGUGCAGCAGCUCAGCAAGUAGGGUCUGCCCUCCCAAAAGGAAUCGAUCUUGUUCCUGUUCCCAACCCAGCAACCCUAAAAGGUCGGCUGUUUUUACUGGUGAGAAAACUGAGUCUCAGAGGGGCGGAAGGGCUGCCCAAAUCAGGGGCUGAGCUGGGGGCAGGGCACUCAGUCUGUGUGACCCCAGAGUCCAUAAUAGCCUGAGAAGCCGACAGGUUUUUAAGUAAAGCACUCAGCCACCACGCCUUCCUCGACACAGACUCAACUCAGCCAGUUAAGCCAGAAGCGUCCUGACAUUUCUUCCAAAACAGAAUAGCAAGAGCAUGGGGUGGUGGGGGCAGGAGGGAGGGAGUAGAGGGCCCACAGGUAUCAAGGCCCUUCUCUGAACCCGGCCACAUUUUGAAGCAUUGGGAUGCAAACGUGAAUAGGAGAAGGCCUUUGCCCUCAAAGAAUUUAUCAUUCAAUUAAAAAAAAAAAAAAAGCAACCCAGCAGAAAAGAGAGAAGGGUAUGAACAGACAACUUACAGCCAGUGAAACUGCUUUGUCUCUUCACGCAGAAAAGAUAUUCGAGGGGCUUCCCUGGUGGCGCAGUGGUUGAGAGUCUGCCUGCCAAUGCAUGGGACACGGGUUCGAGCCCUGGUCUGGGAGGAUCCCACAGGCCGCAAAGCAACUGGGCCCGUAAGCAACAACUACUGAGCCUGCGCGUCUGGAGCCUGUGCUCCGCAACAAGAGAGGCCGCGACGGUGAGAGGCCCCCGCUCACCGCAACUAGAGAAAGCCCUCGCACAGAAACAAAGACCCAACACAGCCAUAAAUAAAUAAAUAAAUAAAUAAAUAAAGAUGUUCGAUUUCACCAAUAAUCAAGAAAAUGCAACUUAACAGAGCUGGAUACCACGUUUUCACUUAGAACAGAAACAAGAAGUUUGAUACUAUCUGCAGUAGGCAGAAUACUCCCCCCCUACCCCAAUGUCCACACCCUCAUCCCUGGAAGCUAUGGACAUGUCAUGUUACAUGGCAAGGGGACAUUAAAGUCACAGGUGGAAUUAAGGGUGUUAAUCAGCUGACCUGACAUAAGGAAAGAAGCCUGGAUUUUCCAGGUGCACCCAGUGUAAUGGUAAGGGGCUUUGCACGUGCCAAGGAGCAGCAGGGUCAGUGUCACAGCAAUGCCACAUGCAAAGACCCUCAUCCCCAGUUAUCCAGACCUAACUGGCUUUGACUAUGGAAGGGCCAUGGGCCAAGGAUCAGUAUUUCUCCUAGACCUUCCAGAAGGAGCCAAUACUUUGAUUUCAGUCCAAUGAGACUCCUGUUGGACUUCUGAUUUAUGGAAAUGUACGAUAAUAAAUUCCUGUUUUUUUAAACCACUAAAUAUAUGGUAAGCUGUUACAGCAGCAAUAGGAAACUAAUACAUUGCAUAAUAUCCCAAGUUGGUAGGGAUUUGAGAAACUGAGCAUUGCCAGAUGGCAGUUAGGGGGUAAUUAAAGUUGAAGUAGAUGUUCUUUGCAGGCAACUCAUCAGCAUCUAUCAAAAAUGUAAAUGCAUAGAUCCUUUGACCCAGUAAUUCCCCUUCCAGGUGGCUAUCCUCAGAAACACUCAUCCAUAUGUGCAAAUAUCCAAGUACAGGGAUGUUUAAGGCUAUACAUCAGUAUAAUAUUUGUAAUCCAGAAAUAAUGGAAAUGCCCAAUAAGAGGGGACUGAUUAAAUUAUUGUACAAUCAUUUCGUGGGAAAAUGGCACCAGGCAGACAUUAAAAAGAAUGAGGUAGUUCUUUGCACUGUGAUGUUUACAAUCCAUCAGUAAGUAAAACAAGCAAGUGAAAGAAGCAUGUAAUCUCACUCCUGUAGAGCAGAAUAACAAUACGUGUGACACGCGCCUGGACCCCGCACAGCGCCUGGCAUGUGGGGGCACCUGAUGGAUACCGCUUAGUGGAUGAAACCACUUGUAUAUUACUGGAGCAAACAGGCUAACAAAAUGCUGACCGUUAGCAUUGAUCUGGGAACCAAAGCAAGAAAAUAUGCACAUUCCAUUAACUUGGCUUCUCAUUCCCCAAGAAUCCUGUAGACUUGGAAUUUUUACUACAUAUUCCCCUUUCCAGAUCUUUAAUUUAAAAGAUAUGAGCUGUGGGGGCAGGGGCGGACUUCCCUGGUGGUCCAGGGGCUAAGAGCCCACGUUCCCAGUGCAGGGGGCCCGGGUUCGAUCCCUGGUCAGGGAACUAGAUCCCACACGCUGCAGCUAAGGGUUCACAUGCCGCAACUAAAGAUCCCACAUGCUGCAACUAAAGAUCCCGCAAUGAAAAUCCCACAUGCCGCAACUAAGACCCAGGGCAGCCAAAUAAAUUAAAUUAAAAAAAAAAA